RNAcentral lists this long non-coding RNA (1035 nucleotides) under Heterocephalus glaber (naked mole-rat). Its description in RNAcentral is "lncRNA (ENSHGLG00100032086.2)". Lineage: Eukaryota; Metazoa; Chordata; Mammalia; Rodentia; Bathyergidae. The record is from RNAcentral.
CAGAGACUCCCAAGCUGAGGUUCAUCAAAAACUCGAGCCUGAAAGCACACACAUUAGGAUAUUUGCAAUCAGAGCUCAUUGGAAGGAAGUUGUCCAGCACCUGUGAUGCAGCACAGAAGCCCUGGUUUCCUGGUCCCCUUUGCAGCCAGUUAUAUCUGUGUCUGCACCGCACUCUCUGAAAGGUUCCAUUUCAUGCUGCCUCGCAACUCCAGCCACCCGCCUGCUGUUUCAGAGCUCGGAGCACAGCCUGUGGGCCAUGAUGAAUGCUCUGAAGCCAGUGCACUGACUCAUCUGAAGAGAAGCUGAUUGUCACUGAAUAAUUAAACAUCUCCCUUCCCCCAAACAUGAGUUUCAAGAGUGGGAGAAUCAUUUUUCAGGACUGAUGAGCACCGCGGGACUGAUGGCAUAGCCACUGGUCACCAGCAUAGGGGCACACAGACGAACUGGCUCUUUGUUCCACAACAUUCCUAAGGGGAAAGAGAUAAUGCAGCCCAGAAAGUACAUGGCCACAAAGAAACUCAUGAGCAGCAGCCUGGUCUGGGUGUCCUUUUGUACUAGAGGUGACUUUGAGAAAGGCAAGUGCUGUGGCGAUGCCAGGACUGCCCCUUGUGCCUCUACAGGAGAGUCACCAUGUAACCACUCAAAAUAUCCAUGAGUCCUACAGGGGAGACAUCCUGGAAUGUGAGCAAAGUCACUUUUGCCUGACCUGCCUACUUUUACCUCCAAUGGCCAUACCUCAUCUAUGGUGACGAGCAUUCCUCUCUGCUCAACAUAGCUCUUUUUUUUUUCAAUCUUUUUGCAGACAGUUCCUUAGACAGUACUAACUUCAUGGACACUGCUAAUAUUACAAGUCCUCCCUUUUAUGAUGCUCUUUUGAACUUUACAUUUGUACUGAGGCUUCUGACUCUUCUAAGGUCAACAAGUUAAUGAAACCUCUAACCAGAAAUCGAAGUGUUAUUAGGACUAAGACCAUGGAUGUGAAAAGUAUCAAAGGAACACAAUUCCAAUCUCAAACAUUGAAUACCUGGAAGUGAC